UGUGUGUGAUUCUCCCGUGUCUCCUGGUAUGCGUUAUGAUUAGUUUUCCCACUUUAGUUUUGCAUUGCUUGUCUUCUGUUCUCCAGCAAUAAAGCUGUGCUUUUGAGUUCAAGUUCUGUCCCCUUGAGUUUGCGUUUGGGUCCAAUCCCUGCCUGCCACACAGCGAAACAUGACAACAACAGAGGACAGUGUUUACCUGAUCAGAGACAGCCAGAGGAGCAGGAUGAUCUCAGUAUACCAGCAUCCACUUCUCCAACAACCAGGCAGAUCCUCUCUACUCCAACAUCAGAGCAGCUCAGCCUCACAGACACAUGCAGGAACAGGAAGUUACUGAGUACACUGCUGUUAGAUUUAACAGAGGCAGUGCAGCCAAGAGAGACAGAAGUCAGGAAACAGGAGAGUCUCCAUGUGCACUGUUCUCCACAGUCAACAAAACCAGAUGAAGGACGGGUUGAUGAUGAUGUGAUAUUUAUGUAGACUUAAAAAAAAAAAAAAAGAUUAAGCUCAAUUGUAGUCAACUGGUUCAUAAAAU
Molecule: long non-coding RNA, 532 nt
Organism: Oreochromis niloticus (Nile tilapia)
Lineage: Eukaryota; Metazoa; Chordata; Actinopteri; Cichliformes; Cichlidae
Exons: 3
Source: RefSeq, a predicted model, not a curated record